RNAcentral lists this ribosomal RNA (301 nucleotides) under uncultured bacterium. RNAcentral describes it as "partial 16S ribosomal RNA". It matches the Rfam family "Bacterial small subunit ribosomal RNA", at positions 509 to 809 of the family's 1533-position model. The record is from RNAcentral.
CAGCAGCCGCGGUAAUACGAAGGGGGCUAGCGUUGUUCGGAUUAACUGGGCGUAAAGGGCGCGUAGGCGGGUUUUUAAGUCAGGGGUGAAAUCCCAAGGCUCAACCUUGGAACUGCCUUUGAUACUGGAAGUCUUGAGUCCGGGAGAGGUGAGUGGAACUGCGAGUGUAGAGGUGAAAUUCGUAGAUAUUCGCAAGAACACCAGUGGCGAAGGCGGCUCACUGGCCCGGUACUGACGCUGAGGCGCGAAAGCGUGGGGAGCAAACAGGAUUAGAUACCCCCGUAGUCCCUGUCUCUUAUAA